AAUAUUGGACAAUGGGGGCAACCCUGAUCCAGCCAUGCCGCGUGUGUGAAGAAGGACUUCGGAUUGUAAAGCACUUUAAGUUGAGAGGAAGGGCUUGAGAUUAAUACCCUGAAGUUUUGAUGAUACUAACAGAAUAAGAACCUGCUAAAUCCUUGUCAGCAGCCGAGGGAAUACAGAGGGUGCAAGCUUUAAUCGGAAUUACUGGGUGUAAAGAGCGCGUAGGUGGGUCAGUAAGAUUUGUUGGAAAUCCCCGGGCUUAACCUGGGAACUGCUUUCAUAACUGCUGAGCUAGAGUACGGUAGAGAGUAGUAGAAUUUCCUGUGUAGCGGUGAAAUGCGUAGAUAUAGGAAGGAACACCAGUGGCGAAGGCGACUACCUGGACUGAUACUAACACUGAGGUGCGAAAGCGUGGGGAGCAAAC
This 421-nucleotide ribosomal RNA is filed under the name uncultured bacterium. RNAcentral describes it as "partial 16S ribosomal RNA". It matches the Rfam family "Bacterial small subunit ribosomal RNA", at positions 360 to 773 of the family's 1533-position model. The record is from RNAcentral.